RNAcentral lists this ribosomal RNA (941 nucleotides) under Escherichia coli. RNAcentral describes it as "partial 23S ribosomal RNA". It matches the Rfam family "Bacterial large subunit ribosomal RNA", at positions 252 to 1230 of the family's 2925-position model. Lineage: Bacteria; Pseudomonadati; Pseudomonadota; Gammaproteobacteria; Enterobacterales; Enterobacteriaceae. The record is from RNAcentral.
AGCGAACGGGGAGCAGCCCAGAGCCUGAAUCAGUGUGUGUGUUAGUGGAAGCGUCUGGAAAGGCGCGCGAUACAGGGUGACAGCCCCGUACACAAAAAUGCACAUGCUGUGAGCUCGAUGAGUAGGGCGGGACACGUGGUAUCCUGUCUGAAUAUGGGGGGACCAUCCUCCAAGGCUAAAUACUCCUGACUGACCGAUAGUGAACCAGUACCGUGAGGGAAAGGCGAAAAGAACCCCGGCGAGGGGAGUGAAAAAGAACCUGAAACCGUGUACGUACAAGCAGUGGGAGCACAGAGCAAUCUGUGUGACUGCGUACCUUUUGUAUAAUGGGUCAGCGACUUAUAUUCUGUAGCAAGGUUAACCGAAUAGGGGAGCCGAAGGGAAACCGAGUCUUAACUGGGCGUUAAGUUGCAGGGUAUAGACCCGAAACCCGGUGAUCUAGCCAUGGGCAGGUUGAAGGUUGGGUAACACUAACUGGAGGACCGAACCGACUAAUGUUGAAAAAUUAGCGGAUGACUUGUGGCUGGGGGUGAAAGGCCAAUCAAACCGGGAGAUAGCUGGUUCUCCCCGAAAGCUAUUUAGGUAGCGCCUCGUGAAUUCAUCUCCGGGGGUAGAGCACUGUUUCGGCAAGGGGGUCAUCCCGACUUACCAACCCGAUGCAAACUGCGAAUACCGGAGAAUGUUAUCACGGGAGACACACGGCGGGUGCUAACGUCCGUCGUGAAGAGGGAAACAACCCAGACCGCCAGCUAAGGUCCCAAAGUCAUGGUUAAGUGGGAAACGAUGUGGGAAGGCCCAGACAGCCAGGAUGUUGGCUUAGAAGCAGCCAUCAUUUAAAGAAAGCGUAAUAGCUCACUGGUCGAGUCGGCCUGCGCGGAAGAUGUAACGGGGCUAAACCAUGCACCGAAGCUGCGGCAGCGACGCUUAUGCGUUGUUGGGUA